RNAcentral lists this ribosomal RNA (253 nucleotides) under uncultured bacterium. RNAcentral describes it as "partial 16S ribosomal RNA". It matches the Rfam family "Bacterial small subunit ribosomal RNA", at positions 524 to 776 of the family's 1533-position model. The record is from RNAcentral.
UACAGAGGUCUCAAGCGUUGUUCGGAUUCAUUGGGCGUAAAGGGUGCGUAGGCGGCGCGGUAAGUCGGGUGUGAAAUCUCGGGGCUUAACUCCGAAACUGCAUUCGAUACUGCCGUGCUUGAGGACUGGAGAGGAGACUGGAAUUUACGGUGUAGCGGUGAAAUGCGUAGAGAUCGGAAGGAACGUCGAUGGCGAAGGCAGCCACCUGGCAUAAUACUGACGCUGAGGCGCGAGAGCGUGGGGAGCGAACAGG